Mytilus californianus (California mussel) is the source of this 260-nucleotide long non-coding RNA. RefSeq lists it as uncharacterized. The transcript is spliced from 2 exons. NCBI's taxonomy places the organism in Eukaryota, Metazoa, Mollusca, Bivalvia, Mytilida, Mytilidae. The record is from RefSeq and is a predicted model, not a curated record.
AAACUGCUUCGCUGAGCGCAGCUGGAUACGCCCGCAGAGGUCCAACCCUGAACAGUUGGGGCAAAAAUGGACACAAUAUUCAAGCUUGAUACAGGUCUGAAUUUGGAUUGUAAUUAAAUAUUUGACACAUUAUAGGUUUCUGACACAGAAUAAAUGUAGUCAAAGAACUUGAUAUUGGUUGUAUGAUUUGAAUUUAUAUUCAAUUGAAGAUUUCUUGCUGUUGUGCAAUACACUGUGCUGUUGCACAAUACUUAGUAAAU